GGUAAGGCAGCGGGUUUUGAUCCCGCCAUUCCCAGGUUCAAAUCCUGGUACUCCAGCCA
This 59-nucleotide transfer RNA is filed under the name Pseudoalteromonas sp. JW3. Its description in RNAcentral is "tRNA-Leu". It matches the Rfam family "tRNA", at positions 17 to 71 of the family's 71-position model. From Rfam's summary of the family: Transfer RNA (tRNA) molecules are approximately 80 nucleotides in length. Their secondary structure includes four short double-helical elements and three loops (D, anti-codon, and T loops). The record is from RNAcentral. Lineage: Bacteria; Pseudomonadati; Pseudomonadota; Gammaproteobacteria; Alteromonadales; Pseudoalteromonadaceae.